RNAcentral lists this long non-coding RNA (2888 nucleotides) under Homo sapiens (human). RNAcentral describes it as "HSALNT0283392". Lineage: Eukaryota; Metazoa; Chordata; Mammalia; Primates; Hominidae. The record is from RNAcentral.
ACAUGGAGCUGAGUAGGGAGCAAGGGUCUGGGCAACAGGGACUGAGGGCACCCCGAGGAAGAGUGGUCACCUUUACUGGGAAGUAAUUUCGGAAAUACUUCCAUAGGGUCCAGUUUCGUACCCAAGCUGAACGCCUGCCACCUGUGGGUACAGAAGGGAAGGGAAGAGUACACAGGGCAUUGCAGUCCCUCUACCUCUCCCAGAGGAGGAGAGUUCUGCCUGCAGUCCUCAGGUCACGUGAGGGGCCUCCUUCUGACACCUCAGAACUGCAGGCCUCUGAAGCCCCUGGAUCUGGGUCUCCUUGAUGGCCAAACUCUCAAUUGAAGAAAGAGCAGAACCAUGAAGUUGAGGUCAAAGGACAGCACGGCUUGGUGAAUGGGAAGAAGAGCACAUUGGGCUGGUAGCUGAAUCCCCAUUCUGGGACCUCUGGAAAUUCUUUCUAAAAGCUUGACCCUCUUUCCUGUGCUGAACUGAUAAGUCUGCAUAUUCCAGCAGGGAGGUUACCCGCAGUGUACAGGCUGUUUGAUGCUGAAAAGUAAACACGGAUUAAAAACCACUCCACUUUGGGAGGCCGAGGCAGGCAGAUCACGAGGUCAGGAGAUCGAGACCAUCCUGGCUAACACGGUGAAACCCCAUCUCUACUAAAGAUACAAAAAAUUAGCCGGGCAUGGUGGCACAUGAUUGGAGUGCUACUCGGGAGGUGGAGGCAGGAGAAUCGCUUGAACCCAGGAGGUGGAGGUUGCAGUGAGCUGAGAUCGUGCCAUUGCACUCCAGCCUGGGCAACAGAGCAAGACUCCGUCUUGAAAAAACAAAACAAAACAAAACAAACAACAACAACAACAACAAAACUGCCCUACUAGGCCAGGUGCGGUGGCUCACUCCUAUAAUCUUAGCAAUUUGGGAGGCCAAAGUGAGAGGACAGCUUGAACCUAGGAGUUUGAGACCAGCCUGGGCAACAAAGCAAGACAGUAUCUCUAAAAAACCAAAAAAACAAAAAACAAAACAACAACAACAAAAAACACUUUACUGUGUUCAUUUUGUUCCAUUCAAAAGUAUCACAAAGGUUCAGAAGGGGAAGUCUGUGUUAGCAAAUGGCCAUAGCAGGCUGUAACUGCAAACACGAUACAUGUUACAGCAGUGCGAAUGAAUUCCAUUUAAAAAAUCUGCAUUCAUGAGAAAGAGGGGCUAAGUAUACAUAUGGUGAAUAAAAAAAGACUUAGCUAAGGGAAUGACUUCUUUGACCAGGUACCAUGUCAUAGCAGAUAAAAGUUUCAGGGAAGAAGAAACUCGGGAGUUACCUACCAGUUCUUUGUCUCUUGCAUUUUGGACAUAAAUGAAAAUAGCAGGAAAAAGGCUGAGUGGACAGUGCUUUAAAAAGUCAUGUUAUGGAGUAGAAGAAACCUUUGUAAUAGGCUGAAUUGCCCUCAUAAGCACUGGUCGAGAUAGUUGUUGUAAGCAUUCAAAUUAGACAGGAAAGCGUGGUGGGAGGAGUUUUAUGGGAAGCCUGCCAUGGAGAAAAAGCCUUGCUAUCUAUGCCCUUCAUCAAAGAGGAGAGUAAAUUUGCCAGUUAAGCUUCAGAAGGAAAUUCAGAUAAAGUUAAAUAAGAAUAAUCACUAAUUAAAGUUAGCCUAAGUGUAUCAUUUCUUUUAUAUUUUGUUUCAAAUAAAUUUUGUUUGUUUCCCCAGUAUUUAGAAGAGAGCUUGGCACACAGUAGGUGUUCAACAAAUAUCUGUAGACCAAUUGAAAACGAAAUAAGCAAAUGUUUUCUCUUUUCAGUAGUAAACUUGAUAAUUACUAUUUAGUCAGCAUGUAUAGUGUUAUUUAAAUGUGAUGUUAUUUUAAAAGCAUAGACGGAUUAGUUGUGUGCCUUUUAUCUGAUUCAUUCAUCCACCAGUCCUAAAGGCGGUCUAAGAGCCCUUACCUGGGUAACACCAUCCCCCUUGUGGAACCUAUUGGAACUGCAGAUAUGACCCGGCAGGAGACGAGGAACGUUUUUUUCAGAGCAAGGCUUCCAGACCCAGCCCGAGUGUCAUCAGUGUCGUGCACGGUAACAAAAGUGGAAUUUAAAGAUAUAGGAGAAAUAGAAGCCAAAUGUGGAAGAGCUAAGUCUCAUGUAAAAAGAGUUCCGUGACAUAAAGCAAGGGUAUCUGAAGAAGGAAUGAUGAAGAACAAGCAUUUAUGUAUGUGUGACACUCCCUUAGGUAUUAUGGCCUUGACACCAGAAGAUGGUUCCAAUUUCUCUUGUCACGUUCAAGUGAGGCGUCUUGGAGAGGGUUAUCAAAGAGGAAGUUCACAUAGGAUCUGGUUCUGUCACCCAGACUGGCGUUCCAUGGCGUGAUCUCGGCUCAACUCACUGCAACCUCCGCUUCCUGGGCUCAAGCGAUCCCCCCACUUCAGCCUCCAGAGUGGCUGGGACUACAGGAGCAUGCCACCACACCCAGCCAAUUUAUUUUGUAUUUUUUUGUAGAGACAGGGUCUUGCUAUGUUGCCCUGGCUAGUUUCAAACUCCAGGUCUCAAGUGGUCCUCCUGCCUUAGCCUCCCAAAGUGCUGGGAUUACAGGUGUGAGCCACUGCCCCUGACCUCCCCUGUGUUUUCUACUAAACAUUUUACAGUUUUCUUUUUUUACAUUUAGAUCUACAAUACACUUCAAGUUCAUUUUUACCAGUUUUAUGGAGGUAUAAUUUACAAAUAAAAAUGGUGUAUAUUCAAUGUGCACAAUGUGAUGAUUUGAGACAGGUAUACAUUGUGUGAUGAUUACAACAAUCAAAUUAAUCAAUACAUUCACCACCAUACAUAGUUACCCUUUGUGUGUGUUUGUGGCUAGAGGUGAGGAUACUUAAGAUCCACUCAGCAAAUUUCAAGCAUAUAAUACAGUAUUAUUAAUGCU